This 275-nucleotide ribosomal RNA is filed under the name uncultured bacterium. RNAcentral's name for it is "partial 16S ribosomal RNA". It matches the Rfam family "Bacterial small subunit ribosomal RNA", at positions 399 to 691 of the family's 1533-position model. The record is from RNAcentral.
GCGUGAGUGAUGAAGGCCUUCGGGUUGUAAAACUCUUUUAGAUGUGACGAUGAUGACGGUAACAUCAGAAAAAGCUCCGGCUAACUUCGUGCCAGCAGCCGCGGUAAUACGAAGGGAGCGAGCGUUGUUCGGAAUCACUGGGCUUAAAGCGUGCGUAGGCGGAUUGGUAAGUAAGAAGUGAAAUCCCAGGGCUUAACCCUGGAACUGCUUUUUAGACUGCCUGUCUGGAAUUCGGUAGAGGUUGGUGGAACUCCUAGUGUAGAGGUGAAAUUCGC